This 369-nucleotide ribosomal RNA is filed under the name uncultured bacterium. RNAcentral's name for it is "bacterial SSU rRNA". It matches the Rfam family "Bacterial small subunit ribosomal RNA", at positions 525 to 896 of the family's 1533-position model. The record is from RNAcentral.
ACGUAGGAUGCUAGCGUUGUCCGGAUUUACUGGGUGUAAAGGGAGCGCAGGCGGGUUGGUAAGUCGGUGGUGAAAUUCUCGGGCUUAACCCGAGGACUGCCAUCGAUACUGCUAAUCUUGAGUGCAGAAGAGGUUGAUGGAAUUCUAGGUGUAGCGGUGAAAUGCGUAGAUAUCUAGAAGAACACCGAUGGCGAAGGCAGUCAACUGGUCUGCUACUGACGCUCAUGCUCGAAAGCGUGGGGAUCAAACAGGAUUAGAUACCCUGGUAGUCCACGCCCUAAACGAUGAAUACUCGAUGUCGGCUCGCAAGGGUCGGUGUCUAAGCUAACGCAUUAAGUAUUCCACCUGGGGAGUACGAUCGCAAGGUUG